CCUACGGGAGGCAGCAGUGAGGAAUAUUGGUCAAUGGGCGCGAGCCUGAACCAGCCAAGUAGCGUGAAGGAUGACUGCCCUACGGGUUGUCAACUUCUUUUUUAAAGGAAUACAGAGAGGCACGUGUGCAUUCUCGUCUUUACUUUAUGAAUAAGGAUCGGCUAACUCCGCGCCAGCAGCCGCGGUAAUACGGAGGAUCCGAGCGUUACACGGAUUUAUUGGGUUUAAAGGGAGCGUAGAUGGGUUGUUAAGUCAGUUGUGAAAGUGAGCGGCUCAACCGUAGAAUUGCAAUUGAUACUGGCAGCCUUGAGUACAGAUGAGGUAGGCGGAAUUCGUGGUGUAGCGGUGAAAUGCGUAGAGAUCACGAAGAACUCCGGUUGCGAAGGCAGCCUACUAAACUGCCACUGACAUUGAUGCUCGAAAGUGUGGGUAUCAAACAGGAUUAGAUACCCUUGUAGUC
Molecule: ribosomal RNA, 460 nt
Filed under: uncultured bacterium
Lineage: Bacteria
Description: partial 16S ribosomal RNA
Rfam family: Bacterial small subunit ribosomal RNA
Source: RNAcentral